RNAcentral lists this ribosomal RNA (468 nucleotides) under uncultured bacterium. Its description in RNAcentral is "partial 16S ribosomal RNA". It matches the Rfam family "Bacterial small subunit ribosomal RNA", at positions 28 to 507 of the family's 1533-position model. The record is from RNAcentral.
GACGAACGCUGGCGGCGUGCUUAACACAUGCAAGUCGAACGGAAAGGCCCUGCUUUUGUGGGGUGCUCGAGUGGCGAACGGGUGAGUAACACGUGAGUAACCUGCCCUUGACUUUGGGAUAACUUCAGGAAACUGGGGCUAAUACCGGAUAGGAGCUCCUGCUGCUUGGUGGGGGUUGGAAAGUUUCGGCGGUUGGGGAUGGACUCGCGGCUUAUCAGCUUGUUGGUGGGGUAGUGGCUUACCAAGGCUUUGACGGGUAGCCGGCCUGAGAGGGUGACCGGCCACAUUGGGACUGAGAUACGGCACAGACUCCUACGGGAGGCAGAAGUGGGGAAUAUUGCACAAUGGGCGGAAGCCUGAUGCAGCAACGCCGCGUGCGGGAUGACGGCCUUCGGGUUGUAAACCGCUUUCGCCUGUGACGAAGCGUGAGUGACGGUAAUGGGUAAAGAAGCACCGGCUAACUACGUG